UGGGGAAUAUUGGACAAUGGGGGCAACCCUGAUCCAGCAAUGCCGCGUGUGUGAAGAAGGUCUUCGGAUUGUAAAGCACUUUCGACGGGGACGAUGAUGACGGUACCCGUAGAAGAAGCCCCGGCUAACUUCGUGCCAGCAGCCGCGGUAAUACGAAGGGGGCUAGCGUUGCUCGGAAUGACUGGGCGUAAAGGGCGUGUAGGCGGUUUACACAGUCAGAUGUGAAAUCCCCGGGCUUAACCUGGGAGCUGCAUUUGAUACGUGUAGACUAGAGUGUGAGAGAGGGUUGUGGAAUUCCCAGUGUAGAGGUGAAAUUCGUAGAUAUUGGGAAGAACACCGGUGG
This 343-nucleotide ribosomal RNA is filed under the name uncultured bacterium. RNAcentral's name for it is "partial 16S ribosomal RNA". It matches the Rfam family "Bacterial small subunit ribosomal RNA", at positions 355 to 715 of the family's 1533-position model. The record is from RNAcentral.